RNAcentral lists this ribosomal RNA (562 nucleotides) under uncultured euryarchaeote. RNAcentral describes it as "bacterial SSU rRNA". It matches the Rfam family "Archaeal small subunit ribosomal RNA", at positions 741 to 1303 of the family's 1478-position model. Lineage: Archaea; Methanobacteriati; Methanobacteriota. The record is from RNAcentral.
GUAGUCCCAGCUGUAAAUAAUGCGGACUGUGGUGUUGCUUCAGAGUUAAUCUGCAGCAGUGCUGUAGCGUAGGUGUUAAGUCCGCCGCCUGGGGAGUACGGCCGCAAGGUUGAAACUUAAAGGAAUUGGCGGGGGAGCACCACAAGGGGUGGAUGCUACGGUUUAAUUGGAUACAACGCCGUGAACUUCACCAAGGGCGACGGCAGAAUGAAGGCCAGACUAAAGAUCUUGCCUAACAAGCCGAGAGGUGUUGCAUGGCCAUCGUCAGCUCGUGGCGUGAGUUGUCUGGUUAAGUCCAGCAACGAGCGAGACCCAUACCAUUAAUUGCUACUUUUACCUUUAGUAAGAGGCACCUUAAUGGGACUGCCCGCGUUAAGUGGGAGGAAGGAGUGGGCGACGGUAGGUCAGUAUGGCCCGAAUCCCUUGGGCUACACGCGGCAUACAAUGGCUGGAACAAUGGGUUGCUACUCCGAAAGGAGGCGCUAAUCCCCUAAAUCCAGUCUUAGUUCGGAUUGAGGGUUGAAACUCACCCUCAUGAAGCUGGAAUCCCUAGUAAUCGCGU